RNAcentral lists this ribosomal RNA (774 nucleotides) under uncultured Neocallimastigales. RNAcentral describes it as "partial large subunit ribosomal RNA". It matches the Rfam family "Eukaryotic large subunit ribosomal RNA", at positions 26 to 646 of the family's 3401-position model. The record is from RNAcentral. Lineage: Eukaryota; Fungi; Neocallimastigomycota; Neocallimastigomycetes; Neocallimastigales.
CGUCUAUAUACGUAUAGCAUAUCAAUAAGCGGAGGAAAAGAAACUAACUAGGAUUCCCUCAGUAACGGCGAGUGAAGCGGGAAGAGCUCAAAUUUGAAAUCUUCAAGGUUCUACCUUGACGAAUUGUAGUUUAAAGAAGUGUUUUCUGUUGGAGUUUUGGUAAAAGUUCUUUGGAAUAGGACAUCAUAGAGGGUGAGAAUCCCGUAUUUGACCAUUAUUUCCAGCUUUGUGAUACACUUUCAAAGAGUCGGAUUGUUUGGGAAUGCAGUCCAAAAUGGGUGGUAAAUUUCAUCUAAAGCUAAAUACUGGCGAGAGACCGAUAGCGAACAAGUACCGUGAGGGAAAGAUGAAAAGAACUUUGAAAAGAGAGUUAAACAGUACGUGAAAUUGUCAAAAGGGAAGCGUUUGACACCAGUGUUGUUUUCUCGAAAAUCAAUUAAAAAAUGGUGGGAUUUUGUGUUGUAUUGACUUUAUCAGCUUUCUGCACUCUUUUCUUGUCUUUUUUAAUGCACUUUUCGUUAACAAGUCAACAUCAAUUUCUUUUGUUGUAAAAGAGUCAUUGGAAGGUGGCUUUCUUUUCGGAGAAAGUGUUUAUAGCCUUUGGCUUCUGCAAUCGGAGAGAUUGAGGUCUGCAGCGUAGAUCCUUCGGGGUUAGAUACAUUUGUGCUAAGUUAUAGCCUUUCAUAGACAACUUGUUGACUAUGAUCAGUCAUGUAGCUUACUCGCUUAUGCUAUUUUACCUACGCUUAGGAUGUUGACGAUCAGCUGAGCGCG